GGAUGAAUGAUUGUAUCUGGCACCUUUACAUUUAGCUUAUACUGAAACAUAUUGGGGCAGAUUCUAGAGCUGCUCUGGUGGUUCAGAGGUGCUGUAAUGAUGGGUUAGAUGUGUCUCUGGAACUGCAGCCUCCAAAGAUUAUGGCAGAUUCCAAGUCACUUAACUCACUAAAUUAUAACUGGCAUACAGGAAUAAGAAACACUUUUUUUUAAUGACAAAGCAGGUCUCAGACUCAUAAUCACCAAUGCUGGGCAUGGUUUGAUUUCUGUACUCUCCAUCUUCUGUUAGCAUUCAAUAUAGAUACAUAUAUAUAUUUGAAAUAGCAAAGCUAGCAUGUUUUGCUGUGACUCCAUAUUCAGACUCAAAGGUUAGGGAGUGUGCUGAGAGAAGUGAUAUUGGUAUAGGCUAUAUCUCUGCCAUAUUUUAUGAAUUUCACUAUAUAAACUUUUUUAAAACCCCAAGGAAAAAGCAAACUCCAUAUUUUUGUAUAUAACCAGCUGCACAUAAUUUAAUAUUAUGUGGGAGGUGACAAGAAACAAUUAACCUAUUUUGAGAAAAUACAGGAAUUUAUAGGAGCAACAUAACUCAUGGAGCAAUAAUUUAAAACUGACCUUCUAAUCCAUUUCAUCAACCCAGAGAUAAACACUGUGGAGUGUUUCAAAUUAUAAAAGAGCCUGCCUUGAUCUAAGUGGGUUGAAGAGUCAGACUAAAAGCAUCUCACAUAAAUUCAAACCACAGUUUGAAUUUUCCUUCUGCAAUACUGAUACAUGAGUAGAAAAGUUCUGGCUGGAAAUUUUUAGAAGGAAAAAUGUGAGUUGAUAAAAAACAAACACUUUUGCAGCAGCUUGUUGAUUUCAGUGCAAUGUUAUUUGGAAUGAAUAACUGAAACACUCCAUUAAAUUUUUUUUGAAUGGUGUAUUACUUUUUUAUCUUUGGGGUUUUUUUGUCGAAGCAUUUCUUCCUCUGUUAGAAAAUUUUGUCUAACAAAAUAGCUCAAAUCAGAACAGUGCAUGUCCAUUAAGCCAAUUUGUCAAUCAUUGUUUUAUAUGAAACUUCAGCUCUUCUUAUUUUCUGUGUGCACUGGAGCAGAAGUAGCCAAUUCCUCCCUGAAGACAGCAAGCCCUGGGUUUCUGAGGUGCCCUGACAGUGAGUGUGGGGUUUCUGCUUGCACUGGCGGCGUUUCCUGACCCCCUGAGAGUUCCUGAAGACUGCAGGUGGCUUAGCUAUGUGCCAGUAUGAUUUACUUUUCCCUGCAAAGACUAACGUACCCAAACAAGCUGGAAAUGUAGUGGUUACUAAACCAGUGGCAAUCGAUGAAACAUAGCAGGUGCCUCUCAAAUAUUCCUUGAAUGGUCCUUGAAACCAUCCAUCAGGCCCUUUCUGAAUUAGGCAAUGGGUGGGUGUGCUAAAUGAGAGACAGAAGCUCAUUGUCUACUGAAGCCUAUCAUAACAUUUUAAUUGCCACUUAAAUCACACUUAACCAAGUGCUGGGAUUUGGGGCAGCAAUCUCAGACUCUUAACCUAUCCUCCUGACCAAAUUAUGAGAUGAAAAACAAGAACUCGCAGAUAUUUCCCUGGAAAGUGUUAAGUAUAAAUAAAGAAUACCAAGAAGGAGAGAAAAUGCUAUCUCUCAAUCACAGGUUAAUAAUUGGCUAAAGAUGUUUGCCUGAGUUGUUGGUAAUGAUAGCCUCUGGCAGAUCAAUACCAGUGGAAUACAUGCUGUCUUGAAAGAAAUACUGAAGGAACACCUUUUCUAGCUCCCCCUGCCCCCCAAAAGAGAGUGACCUGAUAGCAAGAGGCUGUUAAAUGUGAAGUGCAUUCCUUGAGUCUUUUAUUUUCGAGUGGACCAGCCUGAGUACUCCAAGCUUGGUGUUCAAACCCACUCUGUCACUGUUAUUUGGAUGUUGCAGGUGUCAAGCACCCAGAUGUUCAGAAGGAGUGGAGCAGGAUAGGAAGGGAACACACUCUUACACGUUUUAUUUUCCCUGGACCCCUUUGCAGGGCUUUGCCAUGGCGUGUUUCCUUUGUUUGGAGGGAUAUUCCCUGGCACGAGGCUUUCUGCCAAGGCACUUCUGAGUGAAGCUCAGAAGAAAAUGGCCCAUCAGGUCCUGAGUUCCUAUCACUAUCAAUACUCUCCAUAUAAUGGAAGUGACGGCAAGGCUCCUGGAGUAACAGAUGCUCCAUAUGUAUAGACGAAAUUGCAUCAAAGAAACCGCACUGCUCUAGCCCUUCCUCGCAUCCGUGGAGAUUGAGCUAAUUGACGGGAAUGAAAAUAGCUGAACUGUGAAUGUGAGCCAAGGAAGUGUUGGGGGUCCAAGAAAAACUGCUCUUGGCUUAUGUCACUAAACAGCUUAAGUUUCAAUUUUGAAAAUUACUUCAGUUUUACUUAAAUAAUUCUGUCUGCCAAGCAGCCAAUUUGGGGAACUGAUGAAUGACAAUGUCGCCCCAUCUGCACUGAGUGCAAUAUCCAUUUUAUAUGACCUGUAGCAAAAAAGGGAGGAAAGCAUUAUAUUCCCUGCUUCUCCCUGGCACUCUCUAUAAGACUAAAUGGGGAGAGGGUAGAGAAUUAAUAAAAGACUAGUUUGCUCACAUGGGAGAGGAACAAAGGAAACGAUUGCCUCCUGCACUGGAGCUGUGCUGAGUGCAUCACUGCACAGUUUCUUUUAUCUGCAUGCUUUGGGACUGGCACAGCCAUGUGAAACAAGCCUGAUGCUUUUAUUCUAUAUGGGUCUUAUAUAAAGCUGAAAAAACAGCAGAUGAAGUAUGAGAAGCCUCAAGAAACCAGUUGAAACUUCCAACUGAAUGUGAGCUUGCACAAGCAGCCCAGACAAUCCAGCAGCAAGUUAUCACUACACCAUCAUGCCAAAACUCCAGGAGCUCAAAUUAAAAUUAAAAUUUGUUUAAGCCAAAUUUUUCAGAUUCUGAAGUUGCUUUUUUCCAGGUACCAGGAUAAAGCAUAAGCCAGAAUUUUCCAGUCCCAGAGGCUGAAAGUAAAAUAUAGAUUUUUUUUUAGCGAAGUGAGUAAUUUUUACUUAAUUUAUGGGUUACCUGGGCUGUGGUAAUUCUGCUAACCUUCCAGUCAACAUUAUGACCUAAUUUUCUUCUUUCUAUUUUUGUUUUUUCCUCUUCCUGAAGGCAUAAAAAUUUCAACAUCAGCCCACCACCUAGGAGUCCAGACAAAGGCUUAUAACUCAAUGCCUUUCAUCCCAAUCUCUACGUGCGGCCACAGUGUGGGAAACACCAGAGCAUUUCUUUUCUUCUAUGUUCUUUUUGAGAACCAGAGACGGGGCAUUAAAAAAGCAGGUGAUGGUCCUGGUUUUCACAGCGUCGCGUGGGAAUUAUGUCGGAGAGGCAGCCUUGCACUGCUACGUCUCAAGGUUCUCACUCAGGCAACUGGGAGUUUUAUGAGCAAGGAUGGAGAGAGGACUUCAGGAAUUGGCCCCUGGUGAAGAAUCUUAUACGACAUGAGCAUUGUGCUGCAUGCACAGCCAAGGGCCCGCAGAGAGCUGUCUGAAACAGCAAUAGACACAAGGAUUUACGACAAGAAGCAGCAAUUGCAAUAUCUGGCGCUAAACAUUUAAUCUAUGGUUACAGUUUUUACUUCAGAUCAGAGCUGAAGUCAGCAGAAUUAAAUCUUCAAGUGUAUUUCAGCAGCCCUAAAUCCUUCUGAUACUGUUAACAGUGGCAGACUUCCAAAGUGCAUUCUGUUAAUAAGACAGUAAAGUAUAAAACCGAGUUAUCCUCUACAAGAAAAGAGAAAAAAAAAGAAGAAAAAUAAGAAGAAAGGUUGUUAUAAAACUGCAUUUGUGGUAUCCUGGCCAUUUUCUAGCUGAAUUUCCUUCCCAAUUAUUUUUUUAACCCACUGCCCUUGGUGAAUAAAAGAAAUUCUACUAGGAGAGAAAUUUUUCCCCCAAAGCUUCAAAUUUUCCUCUUAUUUUUACAGGUUAGAAGAGGUUAAGAAAUCACCAAUCAGCUGGUAACAUGCAGUACCAAUUCUCUGCAGGCCAGCAAAAGGGAUUCAGCAGCUGUUACCUUCACUUUUGCACUUAACAUAACUUUUUGUUCACCGGCAGCUAAAGAAGAUUUAUGCAGAGCACACUGGGAGGUUGCUCAGCUCCCCAAGGCAACUCCAUUAGCUUUCCCAGGAGCUAUAUUAAAUGUGUAUUAAACCAUACACACACACACACACAAUCCCUUCAGCUAAUGCACUAGUUCCAUCUUUAAACUGACAAAAGUGAGGAUACUCAUAGAAAAGGCCCAGAUGGCAUCCUUAAAUCCCUGCUUUAUGCCUCAUAAUUACAGAAUAUAGGAUAAAGUCUUGGCUUCUCUGAGUUUCACUCAAAUUCUUCUUUGGUUCAUCCAAAGCAGAUCGCCAAGGACACUGCAUUUGUAAGACACUGUGCUCUGUGUGUGUGUUUUUGAGUGGGAGGGCUUCUAAAAGGCAGAUUAAAGAAAAAGAGGAAAGGAUAACAUCUCUCAUUUGCACAUAAGUGUUCACUUGAGCCAUGGAACUCAUGUUGUGCUGAAUGAAUGGAACUAUGGUGUACCUUGAGAACACACACCUGAGACUCUGAAGGCUGUAUUAUGGUGGCAUUAGCAAACACUCUGGAAGGGAAGCUGUGGGAAUCAAUGCCCCAGUGCCAUUUGCUGGAGGCCUCCUACCUGCGGAGGGCUCAGGUAGCAGAGCACAGCUGGAAGCACACAUGGAGAAUGAGCAGCUGUAACCCUGGUCCAGUCCACCAGAGCCACAGCCUGGUGAAGUUCUCAAAAGAGUAAGGUGGGAUUUAACAGCAAAUGCUUAUCUCACCUCUGCACUCUGAUAACUGAGAGAAUGUUUUGCUGUAUUCCCUGGGAUGAUUGUAAAAUUUAUCAUAAUACACAUCCUAUUGAACUUACUGUGUUCUGAGGAGCUUUGGAACAAUUUUAUGUGCAUUUCAGUUUCUGAAGGACCCUACUCAUUCCCUGAAAAAGUUGCUCUCAAACAGAAGCCACCACUGAGGUUGCUGACUGAUGCCAUUGGCAUGAUGUCACUUUCCUUCAGGCUUCAAGCAUAUGAAUAGUCCCAGCAUGACCCCUGCUUUCCAACAAGCCCUGCCGAUCGCUGAAUGAUAACAAGACUGAGGAUUUACAGUGGAUUCAAGGUGCUUCUCUGCUCUGGAAUUCCUUCUGACUCGUCAAAGAGAUGACAAACAAGUCCCUUACUCCUGAGGUGUCACACACAACUUCAAGGAGCAUAAAUAUUCAGUUGCAUUUCCUCUAUCGGCAGUUUGCUGUGUGGUGUAUCACAGCCAUGAAUGUGGCAUAUCAUUCACUGCACCUUUCUCAGGCCUCUGAAUAAGGUCCAGUUCUCUGGUGAGGAAAGUUCUGGGAUGUUCUUCCAUGUUCUGAUGGCCUUCAAUUGAAAAUGAGCUUUUUUAAUGAACUAAGUGAACCAGUGAAUAGAGUCUAGUUCUGCAUUAUCCUUCUGAUUUUUUAUUCCAUAUGGAUUUCUGCAUGUCUGGCCCUUUUCUCUUUUCGACAGUCAUAAAACUCUCUUGAGAUAAUAGGGUUUCUUCUCAGUGCUGUCUCAACAUUUUUAGUUUUCUGUAUGUUACCAAUUUUAUACUAAAGGAACCUCAGAACAUUGUUGGUGUUGGCAAUGGAAAAAUUAAGGUUUUGGCAAUUUUGUGAGGUAGCUGGGUCUUGGCCCACAGGAAGGUCUCAUGAUUUAGGACUGUUGAACAAGCACAUUACUGAGAGUUUUCUAUUACAGUUAUAAGCACGUAGCUAAUAGUGCUGACAUUUGCAUGGUAUGUAACUGCUGAAAUCCAAGCCAGAAAAAGAUACUGACUUAGAAAGGAUCAUAAAAUAACUCCAGGCCACCUUCCAUGGCUGGUGCUCCACAUUUGUCUCCACAGAAGACAGUAUGUAAAGUCUGUGUAAACCCUGUUGUGUUAACAUCAUGUUGGAAAGAACUGCAGGUGUGGUGAUACCAUGGUUCUGCUUACAGUGUUUGUAGUGUAUAGCUGCAGAAGAAUGAUGAGUUUAGCUCUUGAGAUACUGCUGUAUGCAGAGUGAAAUGGGUGGGAAUUGGCCAGUCUUCAGAGUGGUGGUGAAGGAGGGGGACAAAUGUUGACUCACCUUGAAUGCAAAUGUAGAUGCUCACCCAAAAAUCUGCUAGCCAAAAAGUUGUCUCCUAUUGUGCUGUAGAUUUUAUCUUACAUUAUGUUUUAUCUUAUGCUAUAACUGUGCUGUAGGUUUCUGAUGAAGAUUGAGCCACUAACUUACAAUUAAAUAAACUUCAGUUUCCAACUAAAAUGUUUGAUUUCUUUUGCAGAGUCAUAAAUAGAAAUUCGCCCUCUGCAAAAAAAAUCACUAUUACCAAAAUACAGCUUUCUAAAUUCAUAUCACCAUGAAGACCUUUGGUAGUUUGUAAAUUAGGAGCAAAAUAUAGAACUUAAAUGUUUCAAAAAACCCCAACUUAUUGAAAGCAUUCACUUCUAUUAAUCAUGUUAUAUAAUGGGCUGAAUCAAGAUGCUGUAUUUAUUUCACUCCAGAGGAAAGAUCUCCAUAACUCAACUGCAUCUUUGCCACUCAUGAAUUAUCAAGUCUUGCUUCACUUGUGGGAUAAAUAUAUCUCAGUUAUGUAUGCUCUUCUUUCCUCUCAGUGUAUCUAUAUAUUUUUAGUGUCAAUUUUUAUUUAUAUGCAUAUACCUGCAACGCUCACAGUGGAGAUUGUUACUUUGCAAUAAGUCCAAGCAAAUCAAUUUGGUCUACAGACACAAUUUAUUUUCCUACUGCAGCAUUCUCCAGUAUCAUUGCAGGAGUUGCCUCCACAGCCUUCACUUUAACUGUUAAAGUGGGUCACAUGGCAAAAGAUGUGAGGGGGUCUAGCAUUUGAUCAAGUUGACAGGGAGUGUCAGGUUCCUGCUGUUAGCUGCAACGCCAGCAUGAUGACACGUAUUUGAUGUCGUUUCAAUGCAGAUUCUGACACAGGCCAAUUUAUGGUCCAAUUUAUGUCUUGACUCUCAUACCAAGGCCAAGCAAGCUAUAAAAUGUAAUAAGAAUUUCUUCAAUCAAUGUCCAGAGGAAAAACAAAUCACUUGGUUACUGACACAAUAUUGCAUCAACA
Molecule: long non-coding RNA, 7111 nt
Organism: Passer domesticus (house sparrow)
Lineage: Eukaryota; Metazoa; Chordata; Aves; Passeriformes; Passeridae
Exons: 3
Source: RefSeq, a predicted model, not a curated record